CUCGCCAGGGAACUACGAGCAUAAGCUUAAAACCUAAAGGACUUGGCGGUGCUUUAGACCCACCUAGAGGAGCCUGUUCUAUAACCGAUAACCCCCGUUAAACCUCACCUUCUUUUGUUAUUUCCGCCUAUAUACCGCCGUCGUCAGCUUACCCUAUAAAGGACUAUAAGUAAGCAAAAUCGAUACUUUCCAAAACGUCAGGUCGAGGUGUAGCAUAUAAGAAGGGAAGAAAUGGGCUACAUUUUCUAUUCAGAAAAAACGGAAAUUGCCAUGAAACAGCAUAUUUAAGGAGGAUUUAGCAGUAAGCAGAGAAUAGAGAGUUCC
Molecule: ribosomal RNA, 324 nt
Filed under: Aphyosemion raddai
Lineage: Eukaryota; Metazoa; Chordata; Actinopteri; Cyprinodontiformes; Nothobranchiidae
Description: partial 12S ribosomal RNA
Rfam family: Bacterial small subunit ribosomal RNA
Source: RNAcentral